UAGGGAAUCUUCCACAAUGGACGAAAGUCUGAUGGAGCAACGCCGCGUGAGUGAAGAAGGGUUUCGGCUCGUAAAACUCUGUUGUUAAAGAAGAACAUAUCUGAGAGUAACUGUUCAGGUAUUGACGGUAUUUAACCAGAAAGCCNCGGCUAACUACGUGCCAA
RNAcentral lists this ribosomal RNA (164 nucleotides) under uncultured bacterium. RNAcentral's name for it is "partial 16S ribosomal RNA". It matches the Rfam family "Bacterial small subunit ribosomal RNA", at positions 355 to 511 of the family's 1533-position model. The record is from RNAcentral.